GAUGAACGCUGGCGGCGUGCUUAACACAUGCAAGUCGAACGAGAAGUGAAGACGGAACCCUUCGGGCGGAAGGCUUUAUUUCGAGUGGCGGACGGGUGAGUAACGCGUGGGUAACCUGCCUCAUACAGGGGGAUAACAGUUGGAAACGACUGUUAAUACCGCAUCAGACCACAGCACCGCAUGGUGCGGGGGUAAAAACUCCGGUGGUAUGAGAUGGAACCGCGUUCGAUUAGCCAGUUGGCGGGGUAACGGCCCACCAAAGCGACGAUCGAUAGCCGAUCUGAGAGGAUGACCGGCCACAUUGGGACUGAGACACGGCCCAAACUCCUACGGGAGGCAGCAGUGGGGAAUAUUGCACAAUGGGGGAAACCCUGAUGCAGCGACGCCGCGUGAGUGAAGAAGUAUUUCGGUAUGUAAAGCUCUAUCAGCAGGGAAGAAAAUGACGGUACCUGAGUAAGAAGCCCCGGCUAACUACGUG
This 478-nucleotide ribosomal RNA is filed under the name uncultured bacterium. Its description in RNAcentral is "partial 16S ribosomal RNA". It matches the Rfam family "Bacterial small subunit ribosomal RNA", at positions 28 to 507 of the family's 1533-position model. The record is from RNAcentral.